Molecule: long non-coding RNA, 673 nt
Organism: Syngnathus acus (greater pipefish)
Lineage: Eukaryota; Metazoa; Chordata; Actinopteri; Syngnathiformes; Syngnathidae
Exons: 3
Source: RefSeq, a predicted model, not a curated record
CAAAUGUGUGUGCGUACACUUGAGUGUGUGUGUGUGUGUGUGUGUGUUUUGGAUUUCUUUCUUACAGCUGCAAGAGGAGGUGAAGAGUUGCGCUGAAAUGAAAUGAGUCAGUUUCCAGGAAAAGACCUGUAUCACAGCCAAUGAAUCUGAGGACACAUUGGGACAGAAGAUGCGCUCAAGUUGGGGAGAGGAAGAACUAGCAGAUUGGCUUCCUCUGGCACUGUCCCGCAUUCGCUCGUAUGUGUGCACGUUCUUGUGUUUGUGUGUGUGCACAAUCCCCUGCAGCUUUGCGUUACUCGGAGCUGCUGAUUUAUUAUUCAGGAGUGCCUCAUAGUGUCGAUGCUCAUGGGCACUUCAGGCUUCAGUGUAUGUAGGGGGGCACAGAACCAAAUGGAGGGUGACAGUAGAAUCCUACUGAAUGAAAGAUUUGAAGAGGAUGGUAAAUAUCACGUUUCAGGGCCAAAAUAUUCAUUUACUUUUUGUCUAUACUAGUGUUGCAAUUUAUUUUUAUCUUAAUGGGGGGUUUACUAGGGGAUGUCGCUAAUCUUUUUCAAAUAGCUUGUGAAGCCCUUUCAGUUGCUUUUAUGAUGAAGGGCUCUAAAAAUAAACUUGACUAAAUAGAAUCCUGUGAUGGAGCAGCUAAUGGAAUGGAAUGUCUAACUUCCUGUUACUC